RNAcentral lists this ribosomal RNA (500 nucleotides) under uncultured bacterium. Its description in RNAcentral is "partial 16S ribosomal RNA". It matches the Rfam family "Bacterial small subunit ribosomal RNA", at positions 30 to 523 of the family's 1533-position model. The record is from RNAcentral.
AUUGAACGCUGGCGGCAGGCCUAACACAUGCAAGUCGAGCGGAUGAGAGGAGCUUGCUCCUUGAUUCAGCGGCGGACGGGUGAGUAAUGCCUAGGAAUCUGCCUGGUAGUGGGGGACAACGUUUCGAAAGGAACGCUAAUACCGCAUACGUCCUACGGGAGAAAGCAGGGGACCUUCGGGCCUUGCGCUAUCAGAUGAGCCUAGGUCGGAUUAGCUAGUAGGUGGGGUAAUGGCCCACCUAGGCGACGAUCCGUAACUGGUCUGAGAGGAUGAUCAGUCACACUGGAACUGAGACACGGUCCAGACUCCUACGGGAGGCAGUAGUGGGGAAUAUUGGACAAUGGGCGAAAGCCUGAUCCAGCCAUGCCGCGUGUGUGAAGAAGGUCUUCGGAUUGUAAAGCACUUUAAGUUGGGAGGAAGGGCAGUUAGUUAAUACCUGACUGUUUUGACGUUACCAACAGAAUAAGCACCGGCUAACUUCGUGCCAGCAGCCGCAGUAA